RNAcentral lists this ribosomal RNA (253 nucleotides) under uncultured bacterium. Its description in RNAcentral is "partial 16S ribosomal RNA". It matches the Rfam family "Bacterial small subunit ribosomal RNA", at positions 524 to 776 of the family's 1533-position model. The record is from RNAcentral.
UACGGAGGGUGCAAGCGUUAUCCGGAUUUACUGGGUUUAAAGGGUGCGUAGGUGGGUUUGUAAGUCAGUGGUGAAAUCUCCGAGCUUAACUCGGAAACUGCCAUUGAUACUAUAGAUCUUGAAUUAUCUGGAGGUGAGCGGAAUAUGUCAUGUAGCGGUGAAAUGCUUAGAUAUGACAUAGAACACCAAUUGCGAAGGCAGCUCACUACGGAUAUAUUGACACUGAGGCACGAAAGCGUGGGGAUCAAACAGG